AUGCUUCAGAUACCUUCGUUGAAGAUGCGUACACUGCUAAUCCGGUACAUGGUUGAGAUUUUUGAUCCUAGCAAGGGCAGAUUCAUUGUACAAGACUUGGUUGGCGAAGUGUCUCUCGGUCCCGUGGAUGUUGAGUGCAUCUUGGCCUUGGAGAACCACGGACUAUCGGCAGAAGGUAUUCUCGAUGAGGAAGGUGAGGAUGUUAAAGAUCGAGUGCCGCCUUAA
RNAcentral lists this ribosomal RNA (225 nucleotides) under Triticum aestivum (bread wheat). RNAcentral describes it as "partial small subunit ribosomal RNA". Lineage: Eukaryota; Viridiplantae; Streptophyta; Magnoliopsida; Poales; Poaceae. The record is from RNAcentral.